GACAAAUGAAGAGAGAAUAAUCCAGGAAACAGGGUUAUAUCCAAAGUUCUUGGAUAGCUAGAAUGAUGGCUUCAGGCCUUCAGCAACAUCAGAUUCUGAUAAUGUUUAAUGAUAAUCAGAACAACUUGUCUAUAUGGUCCAAAAAAUAAAAAUUGAAAAACGAAAUAGUAUCAAGAAUGUGAAAACAUCUGAGCUGCCCAUCCAUAAAUCUGUCAAAUUCUUCUGUUUAUUAAUGUUUUUGAGUGUUUACCUUGAAUUUUCUAAUUAUACAUAAUCAGAGAUUAAGAUAACAUUAUUUUAUAACUAGUUUGAUCCAUGAGUCUGCUGCCACUCUACUAUUGCUAGAGUAUGCCGUCCCCCACAAGCAACAAGUUUAGCAAUCCAGUGUCCCUCAGCUUCAUUGCUACCAAGAUUUCUGGGAGGUGGGAUGUCAAUUGGCACUUCCAGUGGUUGACCAGUUGUCACCUUCCUCCCAUAUCCCAGUCGUCCGUGGUCACCUCGACCAAAUGAAAACAUUCGUCCAUCAAGUGUCAAUGCAACUGAAUGAGUCCCACCGCAGGAUACCUGAACAAUGUGUUCCCCAGCUAGAAGAUGAACCCUUUGAGGAACCAUUUUGCUGCUCUUGUCAUUAUCUCCGAAUCCAAGUCUCCCAUGUUCCCCUCUGCCCCAACCAUACACCUCUCCAUCAUCAGUUUGUGCAGUAGAAUGCCAUCCACCAGCAGCAAUAUCAACCUAUGUAAGCUCAUAAAUAUAAUGGCUAUCAGAAAAAUAUAUAAAAGCACAUAAUCUCAAAGACUUCACAGAAAGCAAGCACCACUUUUUCAUCAAUCACAACACAUACUAAUAACCAAAAUUAAAAUUUCAAAUUAGUAAUAGUAAGCAGUAAAAGAUUCAACCCAUCAACAAAAUGUAUAGACAUAUAAUCUGAUAUGUAGAAGUGAACAGCAAUUAUAGGAUUUAUCAGUCACUUGCAAUAUCUUUAGGGCAUAGAUUAUCAACCCUCAGCUGCUAACAAACACUGGUUGCCUAGGCUUCCUUUUCUUGAAAAAAAAAAUGUAAGCCUCUUAUAAACUUUUAAAGCUCACACAUAAUAUGAAAUAAAAGCGUCCAGAAGACUCACAUUCCUGUCUUUGGAAUAAGUUCUAGACUGGAUUUUAAGAUGGUGUACACAACACAGAAAUUAAAAUCCUACAGACAAACAAUGCCAGAUAUUGAAAUAAAAGAUAUCAGCACAUCAUCAUCAUCACCUCAAGGGCAAGGGAAUAAAGAAAAGGAGCCCAUGCCACAAAUUGAAACUGUGCACCAAAUUGAAGUUUUAACAUGACCAAGGCAAGGAAUGAUAAAUGGACUACCCCAAACUUCAUAUGAGGCCAAAUUUUCAAAAAACAGUUCCUGCUAGAAAAAAAAUGGUCAUCUUUUUAAGCAUGUUUAUUUAAAAAUAACCUAGAGAGAAGAAUUUUUCCGGGAAAAAUUCUUCUCUCCAGCAUGUUGGCAACCAUGUUGGGAAAAUCAAAAUUUUGAAGGGAUCUUAACUUCAAAAAAUCACAGAUUCAGAUAAAUUAAACUACAUUACGCUAACUACCAAUGGCCAGUAGAAUGGAAGAAAAAAGCAGCUCAAACAGCAAGCUAUUUGGCAACAUAGUACAAACCAAAGUGAGACCAGAGAGCCCUUGGACAGGAAUAGGUUGUGAUCUGGGCUGGGUAUCACCAGUUCCAAGUUGUCCAUAUUCAUUAUUACCCCAUGCCCAUAAAGUUCCAUCUUCUUGAAGAGCUAAAUUAUGAAAUGCCCCCACUGCAAUGAGCUUCACCCUUUCAAGGCCUUGUACCCGCACAGGGACAGAUAUCUGUUUUAUGUCUCCAGGAGGCCAUGGUUGACCCCAAGUCCAUACAUGCCCUUCACGUGUAAGCACCACAGAGUGAGUACCCCCAGCAGCUACCUGGCGCACAACAAGCUUUGAUGCACAGCGCUGAGGAAUCACUAUAUCCCGUCUCAGUGGUCUUCCAGUGUCAUCUUUCCGCUCAGGUUCUUCACCACAUUGCCCAUAUUCAUUCCCACCCCAGGCGUAAGCACGGCCUUGAUCAUCAACGGCCAAGCAAUGCCACCCACCAAUCGCCGCCUGAACAAUGUUAACAUUGGCAAGAGCGUUAACCUGGCUAGGAAUGUUCUCAGUCUUGGUCAGAGGUGGGUGCCCGAGUGUCCCUCUCUGAUUCCAGCCCCAUGUAAACAGCUUGCCGUCGUCACAAAUAGCAAGAGAGUUGCGACUUCCGGCGACAACAGAGCGGAUUUUGUAGGGCUCAAGAGCAUCGACAACGCAGACCCAUUCUUUCUCCUCAUUGUUGCCGAUUCCUAAUUGGCCAUCUUCACCUGAGCCCCAGGUAAUAAUAGAGGUGUGAGCAGCCAUAGCAAAGGAAGGUUAUUGUCAGUGGUUUCUAUGAUAAAGUGGUGUUUUUGGUAGUAGACUAGCAGAAGAAGUGGCGUGACUGAUCGUGGACUUUGGAGGGUUUUUCGUAUUAGCGUAUACUAGCAGAAGAAAUGUGUUGACGAUCCUCUAUGCGGAUUGCGGAAUAUCAAAGUUAGCAGAAAGCGGGCGUCGUUGAAACGAUGGCAAUUAUUCUCUGCCGUAUGGGCUAUGGCAAUUUGGGGAUGGACAAGCUUACCCGCUCCUCCUGUCCUCUGUGUCUCAAUUUACAAUCCAAACUUCUUUUCUUAAUUGGACAAUUUUAUUCCGAUUUUAAAAACAUAUAUUAUAUAUUAAUAAUACAACUUAAAUUUAAAUUAUAUAUGUAGAAAUAAAUAUA
Molecule: unclassified non-coding RNA, 2799 nt
Filed under: Hevea brasiliensis (rubber tree)
Lineage: Eukaryota; Viridiplantae; Streptophyta; Magnoliopsida; Malpighiales; Euphorbiaceae
Source: RNAcentral